Molecule: transfer RNA, 72 nt
Filed under: Stegodyphus mimosarum
Lineage: Eukaryota; Metazoa; Arthropoda; Arachnida; Araneae; Eresidae
Rfam family: tRNA
About the family: Transfer RNA (tRNA) molecules are approximately 80 nucleotides in length. Their secondary structure includes four short double-helical elements and three loops (D, anti-codon, and T loops).
Source: Rfam by way of RNAcentral
GCCUUCGUGGUGUAGUGGUCAGCACGUUCGAUGCGUUAUGAGAGAUCCGUGGUUCGAGUCCCGGCGAGGGCA